UGGUGGAGUGAUUUGUCUGGUUAAUUCCGUUAACGAACGAGACCUCGACCUGCUAAAUAGAGCGAGGAAUCCUUGUGAUUCUUUCGGUACUUCUUAGAGGGACUGUUGGUGCUUAGCCAAUGGAAGUUCGAGGCAAUAACA
RNAcentral lists this ribosomal RNA (141 nucleotides) under uncultured eukaryote. RNAcentral describes it as "partial 18S ribosomal RNA". It matches the Rfam family "Eukaryotic small subunit ribosomal RNA", at positions 1299 to 1458 of the family's 1831-position model. The record is from RNAcentral.